This 460-nucleotide ribosomal RNA is filed under the name uncultured bacterium. RNAcentral describes it as "partial 16S ribosomal RNA". It matches the Rfam family "Bacterial small subunit ribosomal RNA", at positions 338 to 795 of the family's 1533-position model. The record is from RNAcentral.
CCUACGGGCGGCAGCAGUGAGGAAUAUUGGUCAAUGGCCGGAAGGCUGAACCAGCCAUGCCGCGUGAAGGUCAGUGCCCUAUGGGCGUUAAACUUCUUUUGUGCGGGAGCAAUAAUGGUCACGUGUGGCCAGACGAGAGUACCGUACGAAUAAGCAUCGGCUAACUACGUGCCAGCAGCCGCGGUAAUACGGGGGAUGCAAGCGUUAUCCGGAUUUAUUGGGGUUGAAGGGUGCGUAGGCUGUGAGGUAAGUCAGCGGUGAAAUGCCCCCGCUCAACGGGGUGAAGUGCCAUUGAUACUGCCUUGCUGGAGUGCGGAUGCCGUAGGAGGAAUGUGUGGUGUAGCGGUGAAAUGCAUAGAUAUCACACAGAACACCGAUUGCGAAGGCAUCUCACGAAUCCGCGAUUGACGCUGAUGCACGAAAGCGUGGGUAUCAAACAGGAUUAGAUACCCGAGUAGUC